Molecule: long non-coding RNA, 669 nt
Filed under: Anas platyrhynchos platyrhynchos (common mallard)
Lineage: Eukaryota; Metazoa; Chordata; Aves; Anseriformes; Anatidae
Description: lncRNA (ENSAPLG00000029688.1)
Source: RNAcentral
AUCAUUUCCUAGGACAUUAGAAAAGAUCCCAAGCCCCAGAGGUUGGAUUAAGAUCUUCACUUCUUCAACAGCUGAUGUCAGUGGCUCCUAGCAUUUGGUCUGCAUUUCUUCCCACUCAGUCUGAGACAGCUUCCAAAUAGAAUCCCUCAGCCUAACAAGCAAGCAGGUCUUCGAGGCAGCUGUUUCUGCUGUUGUGCCCCUAAUGAGUGAGCCCUAAAGAAGGCCCCACCCCCUAAGAUGUGACUUUGGCGGGGAAGAGGAUGGACGUAGACCCUCAGCCCCCUAUCAAUUUACCUUGCCUGGAUUAUCAAUGCAGAUGUUAAAAUAAUUGAAGGUGUGGUAGGAGAUACAACCCCUAAUAGCUUUUCCAAUAUGGAGAUUACCUAGGCAGAGAAUGCCAGAGUACCUGAAGAAUAGGCAUACAAACACAUUCAAGACACUGUGUGGAGUCCUGAGGGCAAAAAGAAAAGAGUUCUAUAUGAAGGUGGAAUGAAAAGAUUGCACUACCUUGCGAGAAGUGUGUGAAUAUAAGAAGCUAUUUUGAACUGAGGAGUCUAAAGAAAAGAUUUUGGAACAAAUUGGAUGAAAUCAACAGGACCUAAUUGUGAAGAUUGGAUGAUAUUUUUCCAGGUAGAAUUCAAACGCGAAAUUGCUGAAGCUUAGCUGUGG